AACGAACGCUGGCGGCAUGCCUAACACAUGCAAGUCGAACGAGACCACCGGGGCUAGCGGCGCGCGGCUGCGUAAGGCGGGGGAAGCAGCACUUAGGAUCGGAAUAACUCCCCGAGAGGGGUGCUAAGACCGGAUAAUUUCUACGGACCAAUGACUUAUCGCCUUAGGAUGGGCCCGCGUUGGAUUAGCUAGUUGGGAGGGUAAAAGCCUACCAAGGCGACGAUCCAUAGCUGGUCUGAGAGGAGGAUCAGCCACCCUGGGACUGGGACACGGCCCAGACUCCUGCGGAAGGGAGCAGUGGUGAUUCUUGGACACUGGGCGAAAGCCUGAUCCAGCAAUGCUGCGUAGGUGAUGAAGGCCUUAGGGUUGUAAUGCUCCUUUACCCGGCAUGAUAAGGCCAGUCCCGGGAGAAUAGACCCCGGCUAACUCCGU
This 432-nucleotide ribosomal RNA is filed under the name uncultured bacterium. RNAcentral describes it as "partial 16S ribosomal RNA". It matches the Rfam family "Bacterial small subunit ribosomal RNA", at positions 29 to 506 of the family's 1533-position model. The record is from RNAcentral.